RNAcentral lists this ribosomal RNA (521 nucleotides) under uncultured Gammaproteobacteria bacterium. RNAcentral describes it as "bacterial SSU rRNA". It matches the Rfam family "Bacterial small subunit ribosomal RNA", at positions 8 to 524 of the family's 1533-position model. Lineage: Bacteria; Pseudomonadati; Pseudomonadota; Gammaproteobacteria. The record is from RNAcentral.
AGAGUUUGAUUAUGGCUCAGAUUGAACGCUGGCGGCAGGCCUAACACAUGCAAGUCGAGCGGUAGAGAGAAGCUUGCUUCUCUUGAGAGCGGCGGACGGGUGAGUAAUGCCUAGGAAUCUGCCUGGUAGUGGGGGAUAACGUUCGGAAACGGACGCUAAUACCGCAUACGUCCUACGGGAGAAAGCAGGGGACCUUCGGGCCUUGCGCUAUCAGAUGAGCCUAGGUCGGAUUAGCUAGUUGGUGAGGUAAUGGCUCACCAAGGCGACGAUCCGUAACUGGUCUGAGAGGAUGAUCAGUCACACUGGAACUGAGACACGGUCCGGACUCCUACGGGAGGCAGCAGUGGGGAAUAUUGGACAAUGGGCGAAAGCCUGAUCCAGCCAUGCCGCGUGUGUGAAGAAGGUCUUCGGAUUGUAAAGCACUUUAAGUUGGGAGGAAGGGCAGUUACCUAAUACGUGAUUGCUUUGACGUUACCGACAGAAUAAGCACCGGCUAACUCUGUGCCAGCAGCCGCGGUAAU